RNAcentral lists this small RNA (65 nucleotides) under Arabidopsis thaliana (thale cress). Its description in RNAcentral is "ATSL009190". The record is from RNAcentral. Lineage: Eukaryota; Viridiplantae; Streptophyta; Magnoliopsida; Brassicales; Brassicaceae.
UCUAUUAGAUUUAAUACACAUGGAUCUCUAAAAGAAUUUUUGGAUCGGUUGAAAAUUUAAUUUUU